This 253-nucleotide ribosomal RNA is filed under the name uncultured bacterium. RNAcentral describes it as "partial 16S ribosomal RNA". It matches the Rfam family "Bacterial small subunit ribosomal RNA", at positions 524 to 776 of the family's 1533-position model. The record is from RNAcentral.
UACAGAGGGGGCAAGCGUUAUUCGGAAUUAUUGGGCGUAAAGGGCGCGUAGGCGGCCUGGCAAGUGGAAGGUGAAAUCCCUCGGCUUAACCGAGGAACUGCCCUCCAAACUGCUUGGCUUGAGUCCGGGAGAGGUGAGUGGAAUUCCUGGUGUAGCGGUGAAAUGCGUAGAUAUCAGGAGGAACACCUGUGGCGAAAGCGGCUCACUGGACCAUAACUGACGCUGAUGCACGAAAGCUAGGGGAGCAAACAGG